UAGAAACGAGUACGGCUACAAAACUAGCCAGCUUACAGCAACUAACCCUUCAGAGAAGGUGUUUACCUGUUGCCUAGCAACAGCGUUCUCAACAAUCAACUCUAGUCACGUUUACUUGCUACGGUAGACAUGACUAGCAUCGGAUGCUAAGUAUGCUGUCAUUUUAGAUGUAGAAAGUAUUUAACAAAACAAUUUCACGACAUAUGAGGUAAAUGUUGACGUUUCUGAUAUUUGUCUCUCCAUUUCAACGCCGCUCUGCCUCAACAUCGUCUGUAUAAACAGUUAACAGCUAACUAGCCAGGUUACAGAGAAGCGUCCAUAUUGACCUGCUGCCUAGCAACAGCAUCCUCCCCACUUUAACUCGUCGCAUUAACUUUCUAUGUGUUUCUGCUUAUGUGUACAGUAUAAAAUGGUGGAUAACUCACUGAAGCAUAGUUAGCAGUUGAUGCUAAGUGUAAUUUCUGACUAAUUUUAAUAAUACAAUACUUUUUUUUGUAAUGAUCCAACAAUAUAUGUGAAUGCGAGCUGAUUAUUGUUUGCUAGCUCCUAGUCAUCUCGCUUCUGCUAACGAUAUCAAGUGUUCGCUUUUAGUAACCCCGUGGGAGUGCUUUAGCUGGUUCGCAAGCUCAUAAUCAGCCUACGCUAGCUUGUUGCUUGUUUUUAGCUUCAAGUGUCAAUUGUGUAAAUUUAGAUCAUAGCUUGUGCUUUCUGAUGUUUUCCAGUUACGUAAAGUGAUCGUUAUGCUAGCUGUUCAGAUCAUUAGGAUUUUAGUCAACUUGUGCUUUAUGAUUGUUGUUUGUUAGCUUUUAGUCGUUGUAUGCUAGCUGAUUAUUAGCUUCUAAAUGUCUAUUUUCAGCUUCUUGUCGUUGCGCUAGUUGAUUCUGCUGUUUGUUAGGUUUCCCGUUUAUGCUAGCUAGCUAGGUAUGUCCUUUGUAUACUGUCCAAUGUCCUAUGGAUACUGCCAGUUUAUGCUAGCUGGUUAUGUGAGUUUAAUCUUGUUUUGUUUUUUUAUCUGAUUAUGUGCGUUUUAUUAGUUGUGAAGUGAUGAUAUAACCCAUGAUAUAAAAUUCGAUCGGUUAUAUUCAGGUUUUAAGAAAAGAUCAGAAAGGUUAAUAAGGUUAGAAGGUCAGGGUAAAAGUGUGAUUAUUUAUUUUUCUUUUUGCUGGGAUGUUUAGCUUAUAAGGCUUUCCUAUCUAGAUCGUAAAAUGGAGGGGGAAAAAAGUUACAGACUGUUACAGAGGAGGCUGAAAACAGAAUACAGUGGAGUCAAUAAGGUCUGUAAAGACAGAGUCUGAGAGAGACGAGCCAAGUCCACAUUUCACCGCCGCUGCAUGACGCUCAGUUGCUAAGAAACACACAGAGCUGCCAGCAGACACCACAGAGUGUUUCUUUAACUGACAGACUAACCACCUGUUAGCAUCAAGAUACCGAGCUGACGCUUACGACUGGUACAGAGAAGCACCAUCAGGAAUCGGGAGCAGUACAACGACGCCUGUUGGCUCGUCUUACACGCACUGGAGAUGGAGAGAGAGAGAGAGAGAGAGAGAGAGGACUGCACUGCCCCCUGUAGACUGUCGGGGGAACUGCAGGCACGCUCGUCCUCGCUGUACACACUGCGCACGGUGAAACGCUGCGUUCCACUAAAGCUCCGAACUCUGAAUUUCCGAUCUCUGAUUAGGAACAGACGAAGAGAACGCCUCCUCGACUCGGGAAGGCCUCCUCAACCCCGAGUUCAGCGCAUGCCGUCGGGUCAAGAUCUCGGCUCAGAGCGUCGACGGUAAUCGAAUGAUCACUUCGGCACUUGAAACGAGUUUAUAGUACUUUACAUCAGUGAAAAGGGGGGAGGGGCACGGUGGCAUCGCACCUACAGGGUUGGGGGUUUGAAUCCCGCCUCCGCCUUGUGUGUGUGGAGUUUUCAUGUUCUCCCCGUGCUUCAGAGGUUUCCUCUGGGUGCUCCGGUUUCCUCCCCCAGUGCAAAGACAUACGCUAAAGGUUGACUGGCAUGUCCAAAUUGUCUGUAGUGUGUGUGUGUGUGUGUGUGUGUGUGUGUGCCCUACGAUGGACUCGCACCCCAUCCAGGAUGUCCCCCACCCUGUGCCCCAUGCUCCCUGGGUUAGGCUCCAGGUUCCCCACAGCCCUGUAGGGUAAGCCGUAUAGAGAACGGACGGAUGGAUGGAAUAUCUCUCAUUGUGAGAUUAUGCUAAAACAGAAAAGUAUAAUUAUUCAGCCUACUUCUGGACCAUUUCUUUUCUCAUUUCAACCGAGGUAUUCACGGUAAAUAAACAUUUUAAAUGCGCUAUGGUUUAGAUUGGUUAAAGUGUAUACAUCUGUUUUAUUAUACAGUCAUAAUGAUAAAAUAAAAUAACAUUAAAUGCACUAGAUACAUUAAAAAAAAAAAACAACCUAGCUAGACAUUUUUCCCUUUCAGGUACUGAAAGAAAUGUAGAUGUGGCAUUAUUUGGCUAAAUUAACACAGAAUUAAUACAAUUACAACUCUCUCUCUCUCUCUCUGUGUGUGUGUGUGUGUGUGUGUGUGUGUGUGUGUGUGUGUGUGUGUGUGUGUGUGUGAGCGAGCGAGCUCCGUCUGUUCUCUCUCUAUAUUCCACUGGCUUCGUACCAAAUCCUUCAGCAACCUUAAAAACACAGCACUGCAACCCAGAGCUAUGAAAACAGGAAAUCUGAGAGAACCUUCCAGAUCUCCGGGCGACCUGAGGGUUCUACUUAGUUCUCCUUUAGUAGGCCACUAAACAGCGAGUCCUUGCUGCUGCUGCUGUCGUCGUAUUUGUCUGACGUUGAUAACCGACAGGAACACAAGAAGAAACAAGAGCACGUGUUUCAAAUAAAUCUCCUGACGUGGAAAUUCCUUUCUAAAAGACUUCUUGAUCAAUUCUGCACAGAUGCUAAA
This is a long non-coding RNA of Ictalurus furcatus (blue catfish), 2905 nucleotides long. RefSeq lists it as uncharacterized. The record is from RefSeq and is a predicted model, not a curated record. The transcript is spliced from 3 exons. NCBI's taxonomy places the organism in Eukaryota, Metazoa, Chordata, Actinopteri, Siluriformes, Ictaluridae.